Molecule: long non-coding RNA, 1341 nt
Filed under: Apteryx owenii (little spotted kiwi)
Lineage: Eukaryota; Metazoa; Chordata; Aves; Apterygiformes; Apterygidae
Description: lncRNA (ENSAOWG00000004112.1)
Source: RNAcentral
UCGUCAUGCCCAGAAAACGUCAGUUCAAAGCAAAGUUUUGUCCAGUAAUGAGCCAAUGAAAAUUGCUAAGUGCAAGAUCUGUCUGCGCAGCUAUCAAACCCGGGCUUGGGUGAGAGCAGAGCUGGGCUGGCGGGUCUGCCCUGAGCUCUCCGCGCCGGCGGCUUGGAAGCAGGACUGCGCGUGGAGCACUUCGAGGCUCGCCUGCGCGCCGGUUUACCAGAGGAACCGCUUAAGCUCCCGUAGAUAGAAGGAGCAUCCCCUGCCUUGGUAAACUGCGUUACAGCGAUACAGAUUUGGCCUUUCAGCUCAGACGAUGCUUAUUGAGGACGGCUCAUUCCGCUUCCGCGGCGCUGCUCCGGCCGUGGGCGCUGGGGGCCGCGGAAGGGAGCGCGUGUCACGCUGCAGCCGGCGAGGCCCCGCGUGCCGGCGCGAGAAGGCGCACGGGAAAGCCAAGCAGGGGCUUCGUUCCCAGCGUCCGGGAGCGUGGGGCAAGCUCCCUUGGAGGGUGCUGGAUCAUCGCGUUGUCGCCUUGCUGUCCCUGGAUGCGUUCCCGGAGAGAUCCUGCCAGAAGAUUAAAGAAGAUUUAAUGAAAAAAAAAGAAAAAGAGCAAAUGCGGAACAUGGAGAAGAGAGAGGAGUCUUAUCUCUCUGCCUCUAAAAAUGAGCCAUGGUUCAAAAAAUAAAUUGCAGUGAAGUCUAUUUUAAAAACUUAAAGGACGUCGGAAGCUGCUGGGAGGCAGUGCCCUCGCACAUACGGACCUCUGAAGGAACGAUUGCUCCUGCGCUAUCCCGAUUUUGCAGGCGCGCUGUGUAAAGGAGCCGUUUCCCGGAGAGCCCAUCGUGUCCCGCCGGCGUCCGCGCGAGCGGGAGGCCCCAGCAGCGUCGGGACCCCGGUCCCAGCACGGCCCAUGUGAGCUGGGGGCUGAUCCUAACGCCGCCUCGAAGGAGCCGUCUGCAAGCCGGGACCAAAGCCCCGGAGGUGGUGCCGAGGGGUGAUGGAGCUGGGCGAAGGCACCGCAGCGGCUCUGCGAGACCUGGCCUUGGAGCCGCCUGGGGAGCCUCAUCCCUGGCUGGAAGGGUGCCGCCACCCGGGAGCGGGACGGGGCGCAGAGCUGGCGCCCGUCAGGGCUCGGAUCUCCGCUUCACCCGCCGGAGGCCGAGCCGCCACAACGCUGCGCGCAGCCCGGCUUUGCUGCAUCGCUGGUGUUGCCUAGACACAUUUCACUCAAAAUUUGAAUUUCACGCAAAGCUCUGAGCCAAGAAAAAUUCUUCCAAGGUUUUCUUUUUUUUUUUUUCAUUUAAACUUCAAAUAAAAACUGCUUAAUAGUUUCUUGGAAUCGCA